GCCGGGUUAGCUCAGUGGUAGAGCAGCUGAUUUGUAAUCAGCAGGUCGUCGGUUCGACUCCGGCACCCGGCUCCG
This 75-nucleotide transfer RNA is filed under the name Acidobacteriota bacterium. Its description in RNAcentral is "Acidobacteria bacterium tRNA-Thr". It matches the Rfam family "tRNA". Rfam says of the family: Transfer RNA (tRNA) molecules are approximately 80 nucleotides in length. Their secondary structure includes four short double-helical elements and three loops (D, anti-codon, and T loops). The record is from RNAcentral. Lineage: Bacteria; Pseudomonadati; Acidobacteriota.